Balaenoptera ricei (Rice's whale) is the source of this 403-nucleotide long non-coding RNA. RefSeq lists it as uncharacterized. Lineage: Eukaryota; Metazoa; Chordata; Mammalia; Artiodactyla; Balaenopteridae. The record is from RefSeq and is a predicted model, not a curated record. The transcript has 4 exons.
AGAUGGGAGCAGCCUCAGUGAAGAACUGUUUGCUUUGAUCACAUGGCAACCAAGCAUGAGGGAAAGAGACCCCCAGAUAGGCUACAUGGUGAGGUCAUUGUCAUUAUGCGUGGAUUCAUGCUAGCCGUGCAAAUGCGCAAACGUUGUGAACCCUGAGACAUAACCACAGCAUUCUGGUACCACAUGCGUUAUUGUUCCUAAGAUAAAAUCUUUGGACUCCUGGCCUAGUUUACAAGGAACUGCAAAGAGUUCAUAGUUUCCAGAGGAAGAAGCCUGUGAGCCCAGGCUGGAGAGUGAGGCCGGGACCAGAUGGCCAGGCCAUGCUUGUCAAGGUUGAACAUAAAUCCAAACUCCAGCAGACAUCUCGUAAGAGAAACAGAGGCAAGCUAAGUGAAGAAAGAUG